CCGCAGCUUGUAACAUCACUUGUGUUGUUGUAAGCUAUCUACGUAUGAGUGUCAGCCCAAUAUCAUUUAUUGGUUCAAGAAGAUGUACAUUUAUUUAAAUGUUUCAAAUUCUUGAAUACAUAUUUUAUGGAAAUAAAUAUAUGUCUGGCCUCAUAUGUGGAAGGUUACCCGCUGGAUUUAAGC
Molecule: unclassified non-coding RNA, 183 nt
Filed under: plant metagenome
Description: partial contains 5.8S ribosomal RNA, internal transcribed spacer 2, and large subunit ribosomal RNA
Source: RNAcentral